This 334-nucleotide RNase P RNA is filed under the name Gammaproteobacteria bacterium. RNAcentral's name for it is "RNase P RNA component class A". It matches the Rfam family "Bacterial RNase P class A". Rfam says of the family: Ribonuclease P (RNase P) is a ubiquitous endoribonuclease, found in archaea, bacteria and eukarya as well as chloroplasts and mitochondria. Its best characterised activity is the generation of mature 5'-ends of tRNAs by cleaving the 5'-leader elements of precursor-tRNAs. Cellular RNase Ps are ribonucleoproteins. The record is from RNAcentral. Lineage: Bacteria; Pseudomonadati; Pseudomonadota; Gammaproteobacteria.
CGAGUCAGCUAGAUAAUCGCUCAAUUAUUUGAGAGGAAAGUCCGGGCUCCUUUGGACAAGACGCCAGGUAACUCCUGGGAGAUGCAAAUCUACGGAUAGUGCCGCAGAAAAUAAACCGCCUUUUUGAAGGUAAGGGUGAAAAGGUGUGGUAAGAGCACACCGCAUAUUAGGUAACUGAUUAUGGCAAGGUAAACCCCGUCUGGAGCAAGACCAAAUAGAGGCCCUUAUGUUAGUCCUGACUGGGCCAGGGUAGGUUGCUUGAAUUUUGCGGUGACGCAAAAUCUAGAUGAAUGAUUAUCCUCGACAGAACCCGGCUUAUAGGCUGACUCAUGCC